RNAcentral lists this transfer RNA (75 nucleotides) under Nitrospira sp. RNAcentral describes it as "tRNA-Thr". It matches the Rfam family "tRNA". Rfam says of the family: Transfer RNA (tRNA) molecules are approximately 80 nucleotides in length. Their secondary structure includes four short double-helical elements and three loops (D, anti-codon, and T loops). RNAcentral also lists the same sequence under 1 other name. Lineage: Bacteria; Pseudomonadati; Nitrospirota; Nitrospiria; Nitrospirales; Nitrospiraceae. The record is from RNAcentral.
GCCGGUGUAGCUCAGAGGCAGAGCAGCUGAUUCGUAAUCAGCUGGUCAGGAGUUCGACUCUCCUCACCGGCUCCA